RNAcentral lists this non-coding RNA (30 nucleotides) under Mus musculus (house mouse). The record is from RNAcentral. Lineage: Eukaryota; Metazoa; Chordata; Mammalia; Rodentia; Muridae.
UUAUUUUAUGUUUGGUCCCUUCAUAGCUAU